Molecule: microRNA precursor, 165 nt
Filed under: Oryza brachyantha (malo sina)
Lineage: Eukaryota; Viridiplantae; Streptophyta; Magnoliopsida; Poales; Poaceae
Description: MIR812 microRNA precursor family
Rfam family: MIR812 microRNA precursor family
Source: Rfam by way of RNAcentral
UACAAUAGUUUGACUCUUUGUUUUAUUUGAAUUUUUUCUAUAAUUAAUAUUUUUAUUGUUACUAAAUGAUAAAACAUAAAUAGUAUUUUAUGCGUGACUAAUUUUUUAGUUUUUUAUAUAUUUUUUAAAUAAGACUAAUGGUUAAAUGUUGGAUACAGAAAUCGA